GGAAGUGAGGGUGGUCUGGCUGUUACAUCUGUCACCCUGUUGAUCACCAGGGUUGACUUGGCUGAUCUGACUGUCUAGGUGGGUACCCCCUUUCUCCCUCACUGCUUCAUGUGUGUCCCUCUUGAAGCUGUGCACUCUGUCAAAGAGGAUGACCUUCCCUGAUAGAGGAGGACUGUUCUUUGGUCAAGGGUAUAUGAAUAGCUGUGCUCCCCUACUAGAACCUCCAAACAAGCUCUCAAGCUCUAUUUGUAAAAGUAGGUGAGUCAAGCUUCCAAGCCUCCAGACAUCCAAAUGGGGCACUGCAUGUGGUAGUCUGCCUUUU
This is an unclassified non-coding RNA of Panthera pardus (leopard), 322 nucleotides long. Its record names the gene 7SK. It matches the Rfam family "7SK RNA". Rfam says of the family: 7SK was discovered as an abundant small nuclear RNA in the mid-70s but a possible function has only recently been suggested. Two independent studies have found that 7SK RNA binds the CDK9/cyclin T complex (known as elongation factor P-TEFb). P-TEFb activates transcription by phosphorylating the C-terminal domain of RNA polymerase II. The record is from Ensembl. Lineage: Eukaryota; Metazoa; Chordata; Mammalia; Carnivora; Felidae.